RNAcentral lists this long non-coding RNA (2614 nucleotides) under Sus scrofa (pig). RNAcentral describes it as "lncRNA (ENSSSCG00005044286.1)". Lineage: Eukaryota; Metazoa; Chordata; Mammalia; Artiodactyla; Suidae. The record is from RNAcentral.
GAGCAAGUCCAGGGAUCAAACCUGCACCCUCAUGGUUCCUAGUCUGAUUCAUUUCUGCUGUGCCAUGACAGGAACUCCUAAGCUGUUCUUAAUUUAUUUAUUCAUCACACAAUCUGUGGAAUAAAUCCAAUUAUCACCUCCACUUUACAGGUGAGAAAACACGCAUGGACAGUUUAAGCUACUUUGACCUGAGGUCACAGGAUUUGAAUCCAAACAGUGGUUCAGAAUCUGCCCUUUUAUCCAACGCAUUACUACCACUCAGCAGGCUCUGCCUUCCACCACUCUUUGUGUGGUAAUGAGCCCAGUUAGUAUCCAUGAGGAUGCAGCAUCAAUUCCUGACUUGCUCCAUUGGUUUAGGAUCCGUGAGCUGUGAUGUAGGUCACAGACACAGCUCGGAUCCUGUGUGGCUGUGGCUCCACUGGCCUACGCCAGAGCCACAGCAACGCAGGAUCCGAGCCGUGUCUGCAACCUACACCACAGCUCGCGGCAACGCCGGAUCCUUAACCCCCUGAGUAAGGGCAGGGACUGAACCCGUCAACCUCAUGGUUCCUAGUCGGAUUCGUUAACCUCUGCACCACGACGGGAACUCCAGCACCUGUUAGAGUUUAACAUGCAUUUUAUGAUGGAUACAUUCACAUUUCUUCAUACAUUGCCUCCUACCACGUAGAAAUUAGUCAUUCUGAAAUGUUCCUUCAAAACCCGGGGGGCUAAAUGGCCGGGUGUGGAAACAGUAAUUCAGGACAGCUCUUCCCCCAGCCUCGUGUCUGAGUGUGUGUCGGUAAUGCACGUUACAGAGGACAAGGCACACUUGUUUCCAUUUGCUGGGACUGAUUCCCUGAAUCUUCUCAUCCAGAUUUGUUUCCAUCUGUGCUUUUGUUUCACAGAAUAGAGUCCACCGUGGUUCUAAUCUCUGUUAUGCAUGUUCUUUAUGAAUAAAAUUCCAGGCACACGGAGCGAAUACGUGCACGUUUACUACAAGAUAGUAAAAUCUCAGUGUGCAGGGACCUCAUUCCCAGUGUGACUUGAUAAUCCCCACUCUUUGCAGUUUUAAAGUUUUAUGUUACCCUGGCGUUCUGGAUGAGGGUUUUUCUUCUUUCCUGUGAGUCAUAGUGUAUAUAACCGCCACAGGAUAGCUAAACUUGGAGAGGCUUUUUUGUGUGGCUUGUUGGUGUGGCUUUGACUAUCUGCCCUCCGGCUUUUUCUCAUCUGUAUUUCAUAACGAAAAACUAAGGAGGAUUUCACUUUGCUGAAAUCUGCCUACUAAAUGAUGCCUGCAAAGAACAAUCCAUCAAUUAGCUUUUGGGACUUUGACUAAACCAUUCUGCAAGUAAUUUUGCUCCAGCAUCUGUUAAAGAGUAUAUUUUGAAAGAAAAAAAUAUGUUUUGGCCUUGAGGACCUUUCUCUUCAGUUGAUCAAAAUCUAUGCAAAUUGUAAUGUGGCCUUUUUAUCACAGGUGAAGUCUUUUGAUCCUAGCACUUACUACCACAGGAUAAACAAAAUAACACGUGUCAUAAUUGCCAGUAAAAUAGCAAAGUCACACUGACAUUCUUUUUUUUAAGGGCUGCACCUGCAGCAUAGGGAGGUUCCUGGGCUAGGAGUCAAAUCAGAGCUACAGCUGAAGGUCUACACGACAGCCACACCAACUCGGAAUCAGAGCCACCUCUGUGAACUACACAACAGCUCAUGGCAAUGCCAGAUCCUUAACCCACUGAGUGAGGCCAGGGACCGAACCCACAACCUCAUGGUUCCUUGUCAGAUUUGUUUCCGUUGCGCCACAACAGGAACUCCCAGGCUGACAUUCUUAAAGUGUGUAACACAUUUAUUUGCUUUCUGGCUCUGAGUGGAUCCAUUGUCUCCUUUUUCCAUUCUGCUGUGGAAAACAUUUGCAUAGCUGUUUUGUUUUGUUUUUUUUUUAUUGGAAUACAUUUGACUUACAAUGUUGUGUUAAUUUCUGUUGUACGGCAAAGCAAUUCAGUUAUACAUAUAUAUAUACACACAUAUUCUUUUUUAUAUUCUUUUCCAUUAUGUUUUUAAAAUUUCAAUUUAUUUUUAUUUUUUAAUUUUUAGGGCCACGCCUGCCGCAUAUGGAAAUUUCAAGGCUAGGGGUCAACUUGGAGCUGCAGCUGUGGUCUAUACCACAGCCAUGGCAACACUGGAUUUGAGCCACAUCUUCUACCUAUGUCACAGCUAGCUGCAACACCAAGAUCCUUAACCCAUUGAAUGAGGUCAAGGAUUAAACCUGCAUCCUCACUGGACACUGUAUGGUGCUUAACCUGCUGAGCCACAAUGGGAACCCCUCCAUUUCGGCUUAUCGUAGGAUAUUUAUAUCAAUAGUUCCCUGUAGGAGUUCCCAUUGUGGUGCAGUGGAAAUGAAUCUGACUAGUAUCUGUGAAGAUAUGGGUUUGAUCCCUGGCCUGGCUCAGUGGCUUGAGUUUCCAGGGUUGCUGGGAGCCGUGGUUGGUAUAGGAUGCAGAUGUGUCUCGGAUCCUGAGUGGCUGGGGCUGGGGCUGGGGCUGACGGUUAUAGCUCUGAUUUGACCCCUAGCCUGGGAACUUCCAUAUGCUGUGGGUAUGGGGGCCAAAAAAAAAAAAAAAAAAAAAAAAAAAAAAAAAAA